This 496-nucleotide ribosomal RNA is filed under the name uncultured bacterium. RNAcentral's name for it is "partial 16S ribosomal RNA". It matches the Rfam family "Bacterial small subunit ribosomal RNA", at positions 29 to 507 of the family's 1533-position model. The record is from RNAcentral.
AUGAACGCUGGCGGCGUGCCUAAUACCUGCAAGUCGAGCGAACAGACGAGGAGCUUGCUCCUCUGACGUUAGCGGCGGACGGGUGAGUAACACGUGGAUAACCUACCUAUAAGACUGGGAUAACUUCGGGAAACCGGAGCUAAUACCGGAUAAUAUAUUGAACCGCAUGGUUCAAUAGUGAAAGACGGUUUUGCUGUCACUUAUAGAUGGAUCCGCGCCGCAUUAGCUAGUUGGUAAGGUAACGGCUUACCAAGGCGACGAGGCGUAGCCGACCUGAGAGGGUGAUCGGCCACACUGGAACUGAGACACGGUCCAGACUCCUACGGGAGGCAGCAGUAGGGAAUCUUCCGCAAUGGGCGAAAGCCUGACGGAGCAACGCCGCGUGAGUGAUGAAGGUCUUCGGAUCGUAAAACUCUGUUAUUAGGGAAGAACAAAUGUGUAAGUAACUAUGCACGUCUUGACGGUACCUAAUCAGAAAGCCACGGCUAACUACGUG